Molecule: ribosomal RNA, 253 nt
Filed under: uncultured bacterium
Lineage: Bacteria
Description: partial 16S ribosomal RNA
Rfam family: Bacterial small subunit ribosomal RNA
Source: RNAcentral
UACGUAGGUGGCAAGCGUUGUCCGGAAUUAUUGGGCGUAAAGCGCGCGCAGGCGGUCCUUUAAGUCUGAUGUGAAAGCCCACGGCUCAACCGUGGAGGGUCAUUGGAAACUGGGGGACUUGAGUGCAGAAGAGGAGAGUGGAAUUCCACGUGUAGCGGUGAAAUGCGUAGAGAUGUGGAGGAACACCUGCGGCGAAGGCGGGUAGCUGGGCCGACACUGACGCUGAGGCGCGAAAGCCAGGGGAGCAAACGGG